Papilio xuthus (Asian swallowtail) is the source of this 475-nucleotide long non-coding RNA. RefSeq lists it as uncharacterized. The record is from RefSeq and is a predicted model, not a curated record. NCBI's taxonomy places the organism in Eukaryota, Metazoa, Arthropoda, Insecta, Lepidoptera, Papilionidae. The transcript has 3 exons.
ACAUACAAAAUUAUUUUAUAGAUGUAUCAAUAAAUAUUUUACUUUUUAGUUGGUGUCGAAAUAUAAACCGUAUACUAACUGGAAAAAUAACAAAUUCUGAUUUAGAUGAUCCAAUAAAAAAUAGUGCUCAAAUAUAUUAUAACACUCAUAAAAAUAAAAAGCAAUAGUUUAAAUCCAGUCGCUACUUAUGGCAAAAAUGAGAAAUUCUGUGAUCAUCCAAUCAAUAUUCCAUUGCAAAAUCAUUGGAUCCGAAGGCGCUGUGGACGUCGGAAACGCAUGAUUUGUGGCGAGUGCGGCGCUGUGAGACUGCAUGCGGCGUGGCGCAUCCGGACUUGCAGCUAAUCAGCGCAUGGUCAUGCUGGCCGUUCCCUGACAUAUUCCCUACAUGCCGGAAGAAGAUGCACGGCUUUCCGCAUCCUGAGAGACGGUCAGAGAUUUCUAGAAAAUGUGUGUCAGUCACUGGAAAAAACACACU